AACGCGAAGAACCUUACCCAGGCUCGAAAUGUAGAGGGCGAUACCAGAAAUGGUAUUUUCCGUAAGGACUUCUAUAUAGGUGCUGCAUGGCUGUCGUCAGCUCGUGCCGUGAGGUGUUGGGUUAAGUCCCGCAACGAGCGCAACCCUUAUCAUUAGUUGCCAACACGCGAGGUGGGGACUCUAAUGAGACUGCCUAGGUUAACUAGGAGGAAGGUGAGGAUGACGUCAAGUCCGCAUGGCCUUUAUGUCUGGGGCUACACACGUGCUACAAUGGUCGGUACAGAAGGCAGCGAAGUCGUAAGAUGGAGCAAAUCCCAAAAGCCGAUCUCAGUUCAGAUUGUGGUCUGCAACUCGACCACAUGAAGUUGGAAUUGCUAGUAAUGACGUGUCAGCUACAACGUCGUGAAUACGUUCCCGGGCCUUGUA
Molecule: ribosomal RNA, 426 nt
Filed under: uncultured Chlamydiae bacterium
Lineage: Bacteria; Pseudomonadati; Chlamydiota; Chlamydiia
Description: bacterial SSU rRNA
Rfam family: Bacterial small subunit ribosomal RNA
Source: RNAcentral